UGUGCAAGCAUUGAAUUGGACAGCUACCCU
Molecule: non-coding RNA, 30 nt
Filed under: Rattus norvegicus (Norway rat)
Lineage: Eukaryota; Metazoa; Chordata; Mammalia; Rodentia; Muridae
Source: RNAcentral